AGAGUUUGAUCCUGGCUCAGGAUGAACGCUAGCGGCAGGCUUAACACAUGCAAGUCGAACGGUAACAUUCCCGCUUGCGGGAGAUGACGAGUGGCGCACGGGUGCGUAACGCGUAUGCAACCUACCUUCAACAAAGGGAUAGCCCAGAGAAAUUUGGAUUAAUACCUUAUAAUAUUUUCGAAACGAUUGUUUUGAAUCUUAAAGAUUUAUCGGUUGAAGAUGGGCAUGCGUGACAUUAGCUAGAUGGUAAGGUAACGGCUUACCAUGGCGACGAUGUCUAGGGGUUCUGAGAGGAAGAUCCCCCACACUGGUACUGAGACACGGACCAGACUCCUACGGGAGGCAGCAGUGAGGAAUAUUGGACAAUGGGCGGAAGCCUGAUCCAGCCAUGCCGCGUGAAGGAUGACUGCCCUAUGGGUUGUAAACUUCUUUUAUAGAGGAAGAAACCUCUUCUCGUGAGAAGAGCUGACGGUACUCUACGAAUAAGGACCGGCUAACUCCGUGCCAGCAGCCGCGGUAAUACGGAGGGUCCAAGCGUUAUCCGGAUUUAUUGGGUUUAAAGGGUCCGUAGGCGGGUUUUUAAGUCAGUGGUGAAAUCCUACAGCUCAACUGUAGAACUGCCAUUGAAACUGGGAAUCUUGAAUGUGAUUGAAGUGGGCGGAAUAGGUCAUGUAGCGGUGAAAUGCUUAGAUAUGACCUAGAACACCGAUAGCGAAGGCAGCUCACUAAGUCAUUAUUGACGCUAAUGGACGAAAGCGUGGGGAGCGAACAGGAUUAGAUACCCUGGUAGUCCACGCCGUAAAC
This 804-nucleotide ribosomal RNA is filed under the name uncultured bacterium. RNAcentral's name for it is "bacterial SSU rRNA". It matches the Rfam family "Bacterial small subunit ribosomal RNA", at positions 8 to 807 of the family's 1533-position model. The record is from RNAcentral.